CCUACGGGAGGCUGCAGUCGAGAAUCAUUCACAAUGGGGGAAACCCUGAUGGGGCGACGCCGCGUGGGGGAAUGAAGGUCUGCGGAUUGUAAACCCCUGUCAUGUGGGAGCAAAUUAAAAAGAUAGUACCACAAGAGGAAGAAACUGCAAACUCUGAGCCAGCAGCCGCGGUAAUGCAGAGGGCUCAAGCGUGAUUCGGAAUCAGUGGACGUACAGCGUGCGUAGGCGGUUUCGUAAGUCGUGUGUGAAAGGCGCGGGCUCAACCCUCGAAGGGCACAUGAUAAUGUGCGACUAGAGUAAUGGAGGGGGAACCGGAAUUCUCGGUGUAGCAGUGAAAUGCGUAGAGAUCGAGAGGAACACUCGUGGCGAAGGCGGGUUCCUGGACAUUAACUGACGCUGAGGCACGAAGGCCAGGGGAGCGAAAAGGAUUAGAUACCCGGGUAGUC
RNAcentral lists this ribosomal RNA (446 nucleotides) under uncultured bacterium. RNAcentral's name for it is "partial 16S ribosomal RNA". It matches the Rfam family "Bacterial small subunit ribosomal RNA", at positions 338 to 795 of the family's 1533-position model. The record is from RNAcentral.